Molecule: ribosomal RNA, 408 nt
Filed under: uncultured bacterium
Lineage: Bacteria
Description: bacterial SSU rRNA
Rfam family: Bacterial small subunit ribosomal RNA
Source: RNAcentral
GUGGGGAAUAUUGGGCAAUGGGCGCAAGCCUGACCCAGCAAUGCCGCGUGAAGGAAGAAGGCCCUCGGGUUGUAAACUUCUUUUAUCAGGGACGAAGGAUGUGACGGUACCUGAUGAAUAAGCUCCGGCUAACUACGUGCCAGCAGCCGCGGUAAUACGUAGGGAGCAAGCGUUAUCCGGAUUUACUGGGUGUAAAGGGCGCGUAGGCGGGAUGGCAAGUCAGAUGUGAAAUCCAAGGGCUCAACCCUUGAACUGCAUUUGAAACUGUCGUUCUUGAGUACUGGAGAGGUUGACGGAAUUCCUAGUGUAGCGGUGAAAUGCGUAGAUAUUAGGAGGAACACCAGUGGCGAAGGCGGUCAACUGGACAGCAACUGACGCUGAGGCGCGAAAGCGUGGGGAGCAAACAGG